GACGAACGCUGGCGGCGUGCCUAACACAUGCAAGUCGAACGGGAAAACCCGCAAGGGUGAGUACAGUGGCGCACGGGUGCGUAACACGUGGGUAAUCUGCCCAGAAGCCCGGAAUAACUCCCCGAAAGGGGUGCUAAUGCCGGAUGAGACCACGGGGACUUCGGUUCCUGGGGGAAAAGGUGGCCUCUGUAUACAAGCUAUCACUUCUGGAUGAGCCCGCGGCCCAUCAGCUAGUUGGCGGGGUAAUGGCCCACCAAGGCUACGACGGGUAGCUGGUCUGAGAGGACGAUCAGCCACACUGGAACUGAGACACGGUCCAGACUCCUACGGGAGGCAGCAGUGGGGAAUCUUGCGCAAUGGGCGAAAGCCUGACGCAGCAACGCCGCGUGUGUGAUGAAGGUCUUCGGAUCGUAAAGCACUGUCGGGAGGGACGAAUAAGGGCCGGGUGAACAAUCCGGUUCGACGACGGUACCUCCAGAGGAAGCACCGGCUAACUCUGUGCCAGCAGCCGCAGUAA
RNAcentral lists this ribosomal RNA (517 nucleotides) under uncultured bacterium. Its description in RNAcentral is "partial 16S ribosomal RNA". It matches the Rfam family "Bacterial small subunit ribosomal RNA", at positions 28 to 523 of the family's 1533-position model. The record is from RNAcentral.